UCAAGAUUAAUUUAAGAGUGCAAUAUAUACAAAGUAAGAAUAUAUAUAUCUGAGAGCUGCAAAUUAACUGAUCGAUAUGGCUUCAAAGUUGGUUGUAGUUCUAGUUGUUAUUACCGCUCUUGUUUGCUCCGCCACUGCCCGAAACCUCGGAGAAUCUGCCAUUAAUGAUGAGAAGGAUGUGAUAGUUAUUGUGCCAGAUGAGGGAGGUAUUGGGGAAGGAACUGUUGGGGGAAUCGGUUAUGAAGGAAUUGGGCAAGAAAGAACUGAAAGAAUUCCAUGAUAAAGGAAAAGAAAAGUUCUCAACAUAUUAUGUAUAUAUAUAUAUGUACAUUGCUAUAUUGUUUGUAUGAUGUAAUAAAAAAUUAGCAAUGUCUUAAUAAACGUCGUCGAAUCACUUCACUUGUUUGGUCAUAUUUUUGUCUUGUUUCUUCCUUUUCUCUAAUUGUUUGCUCAUAUAUAGUCUGCAUGCUGGAGACAAUAUAU
RNAcentral lists this long non-coding RNA (483 nucleotides) under Salvia miltiorrhiza (redroot sage). RNAcentral's name for it is "long non-coding RNA (SMIL_LNC002199)". The record is from RNAcentral. Lineage: Eukaryota; Viridiplantae; Streptophyta; Magnoliopsida; Lamiales; Lamiaceae.